GUCAGACCAGAGACGAGCUCAGCUGGUAAUGUAGUCUGAUGUUUCUUCUAUUAAAUUGUGUUUUGUCUGAAUGUUUGUGGAUCUGUAGAAAUUAACAGGUGUGUGAGUGUGUUUUUGUCAAUGAGGGAUAAAGAUGUACAGUCAUUAUUUCUUGAGCACUGUUUAUUUGUUUAUUUAAAAGGAUCCCCAUUAGCUGACGCCAAAACGACAACUAGUCUUCCUGGGGUCCAAACAAUACAUACAAAACCCAAUAAUUACAAUCACAAUUACUCCCAAAUAUAUCAUAUGUAAAUACACAUGAGAGAACAAAAAAAAAUUAUGUUUGCUCAAUUUGCUCAUAUGGUUGACUGUGAGGAGAAUUUAGUUUCAUGUUUUCUUUUCACAUUAAACUUCAGAUUUUGUUUGUUCCCCACACUCACGGUUACAUUCGUCAUUUAUUUUUGACCCUUGUUUUUCUUUUUUUUUCUUUUUUUUUUGUUUGGUUUGAUUAUUGCCUUCAUGAUGUUUUGUGUCAUUCCAGUAAUAAAUAUGACACAGCAGGAAAGAUGCAACGUAAGUUGAGAUUUUGAAAUAUAAGUUUCAGAGUUGGACUCACUUCUAUCAAUUAUGGUGCAGAGAGCAAUGCAAUAAGAUAUGGCACAUAUUAAAAAAUAUGAAUGCGCUUUUCUGUUUAUUGCUGAUGGUUAUGUGCACUUUUGUUUACUAUUAAUAUUGCAAAACAUAAUUAGCACAGUCUUAUUUACCAUACUAAAGAUCAAUUGUGAUUUCAGAGUCAGACAUUUGGAGGAUGUUUUCAAAAUCUUCUUGAGCAGAUUGAGAACAUUACAGCUCAAGAGCUUCCUUUGGAAACUGUGCAAAACAUUUUGAAUAUGGCCUUCAACACUUCGGAGAAGAUUUUAGAGUCAUCAUCAUCAUCAGUAAAUGCAGCUGAUCUAGCCUCUUAUGGAAACCGUCUGUUAAAAGCCAGCGAGAAACUCAUUUCUACAUUGGUGAAGCCGGUGGACACAAGUGACAGUGUCAGUUUUACUCUUGCUGCUGUUGAGGGUCAAGUCUUCAUGGUUGGACCACAGGUCACCUUAGAGAAAAUCCCUCGACUCGACACGACAAAUUCUUCUGUGGACAUCGAUCUCAUUGGGAUCACCAGGAACAACAAUGAAAGUAUGUCAGAUAAAAUAAAAAAUAAAAAAUCAUAGAGACAGCAUACACUGUAAAAAAUACACUGUCUUAAACCAUGUAAGUUUUAAAACUUUGCAAUCAAGUAAUUAAGUGAUUAACUAAGUGCUGAUUGAGCUUUAGUGAUGAACAGCUGCUGUCAACAAACAGAAUUACUGAAGAAAAGAGAAACACAAGAACUACUACAACUGACUUCAGACACAGCCUUAGAUAAAAUAAACUGAAAUAAAAUACAUUAAGUCUCUCA
Cyprinus carpio (common carp) is the source of this 1420-nucleotide long non-coding RNA. The record is from Ensembl. Lineage: Eukaryota; Metazoa; Chordata; Actinopteri; Cypriniformes; Cyprinidae.